This 255-nucleotide ribosomal RNA is filed under the name uncultured bacterium. RNAcentral describes it as "partial 16S ribosomal RNA". It matches the Rfam family "Bacterial small subunit ribosomal RNA", at positions 524 to 776 of the family's 1533-position model. The record is from RNAcentral.
UACGUAGGGUGCGAGCGUUGUCCGGAAUUAUUGGGCGUAAAGAGCUCGUAGGCGGUGUGUCGCGUCGGCCGUGAAAACCUGGGGCUCAACCCCGGGCCUGCAGCCGAUACGGGCAAACUAGAGUACUGCAGGGGAGACUGGAAUUCCUGGUGUAGCGGUGAAAUGCGCAGAUAUCAGGAGGAACACCGGUGGCGAAGGCGGCUCUCUGGACCGUAACUGACGCUGAGGCGCGAAAAGCGUGGGGGAGCAAACAGG